UACAGAGGUCUCAAGCGUUGUUCGGAUUCUUUGGGCGUAAAGGGUGCGUAGGCGGCGCGGUAAGUCGGGUGUGAAAUCUCGGGGCUUAACUCCGAAACUGCAUUCGAUACUGCCGUGCUUGAGGACUGGAGAGGAGACUGGAAUUUACGGUGUAGCGGUGAAAUGCGUAGAUAUCGUAAGGAAGACCAGUGGCGAAGGCGGGUCUCUGGACAGUUCCUGACGCUGAGGCACGAAGGUCAGGGGAGCAAACGGG
RNAcentral lists this ribosomal RNA (253 nucleotides) under uncultured bacterium. Its description in RNAcentral is "partial 16S ribosomal RNA". It matches the Rfam family "Bacterial small subunit ribosomal RNA", at positions 524 to 776 of the family's 1533-position model. The record is from RNAcentral.